This is a long non-coding RNA of Quercus lobata, 713 nucleotides long. RefSeq lists it as uncharacterized. The transcript is spliced from 3 exons. The record is from RefSeq and is a predicted model, not a curated record. Lineage: Eukaryota; Viridiplantae; Streptophyta; Magnoliopsida; Fagales; Fagaceae.
CCUCUCUGUUUUCUAAUAUAUGCCAAAACUCGAUCCUCCCGCCGCCACCGCCGCCACCAUGGAUCACCGCCACUACAUCGAUUUCUCUUUGCCUCUUCAUCAUCACUCAAUCCAGCCCAUCAUGUUUUAUUUUGAGGUUCCAAGGAUGAAGGAGAUCAAGAUUUCAAAGGCCAAUUUGAUGUAAGCCGUGGCUUUUGUGAUGGGUGGAAUUCAGGAAGCUUGCAAUGAUAUUUAAAUCUUUCAACGUUGCGGUGGAGGUUGGCUAUUAUGGUCAAAUCGAAACCAAAGGCAUGUGGAUGAAACUUUGAAGUUAGUAGUGGAUUUGGUGCAAACAACCUGUACACUUGCUGUGGAAUAUAUGGAAGCUUAGAGAAAUAAUCAGUCUAGAUAGCCUGUUGAAAGGUGUACAUGGCCUCUAUGGAUUUGGGGCUUCAAGCAGUAGAGAUAGAGUGUGAAUUUAAUAGUCCAGUAGAUGAAGUAAAGUCAGCUUGACCUACCAAUUUGAGCAUUGGCCACAUCCUUAAUGAUGUUAGACUACUUGGUAGUUGGUUCUUCUAUUAGGAAUAUAUUUUUCUCUUGUGGCUUUCCUUGAACAAACGGACCAACAGAGAAGAUAGCAUUUGAAGCAAAGAACUGGCUGGGUUUGCUAGACAAUGAUGUAUUGGAUGGAGGAGCAUCCCCCAUGUAUUAAGACUCUACUAAACAGUAAUGUA